This 694-nucleotide long non-coding RNA is filed under the name Monodelphis domestica (gray short-tailed opossum). Its description in RNAcentral is "lncRNA (ENSMODG00000030974.2)". The record is from RNAcentral. Lineage: Eukaryota; Metazoa; Chordata; Mammalia; Didelphimorphia; Didelphidae.
GGAUCAUAAAAGAGUUAGUUCCCCCCUCCCACAUUCAUAUUUAAUCAGAUGCUAAGAGAACCUUCAGAUGGAUCAGGGAGUUGCCAAUGGAAACCUGACACAAACGAGGGGAUGCAGGCUCUUAAAGGAGAGAAGCCUGUUUUCACAUUGGAAGGAAAACAAUGAUAAUGAAAAGGGGAAAAAAGCUAAUGAGUAUAAUGACUCACAUGUUUGCAGCACUUGAAGUUUUCCACAGAGCUUUCUCCAUAACAACCAUGCAAAGUAGGACAAGAGAAUACAAAAAGAGUCAUUGCACAGUGCCAAAGAAGCACAAAGUUGGACCACAUUUGGAAGGCUGUGCUCUGGAUACCACUUCAACAUAAAGACAGAGACAAACAGGAGAAUAUCUGGAGGAUGGUGACCAGGAUGCUGGAAUAUUUGGAGAUCCUCUGCUGUUUGAAUAUAUGUUAAAAGAAAAUUUGGGAGUAUUUAGUUUGGAGAAGACUGGGUGGGAACUAGGGGGUGCAGGUGGGUGGAGAGCAUGUCUACUGUCUUCAAUUAACUAUUAAAAGCCUAUCUUGUGGAGAGGGGUUAGACUUGUUCUCCUUAGACCCGGGACCCAGAACUAGAUGCAAAGGGUAGCUGAUACAGAGGCAGAUUUCAGUUCUACACAAGAGAAAACUUCCUAACAAUCCAUAUUGUCUUUAAACAGAAC